RNAcentral lists this ribosomal RNA (301 nucleotides) under uncultured bacterium. RNAcentral's name for it is "partial 16S ribosomal RNA". It matches the Rfam family "Bacterial small subunit ribosomal RNA", at positions 509 to 807 of the family's 1533-position model. The record is from RNAcentral.
CAGCAGCCGCGGGAAUACGUAGGUGGCAAGCGUUGUCCGGUAUUAUUGGGCGUAAAGGGCUCGCAGGCGGUUUCUUAAGUCUGAUGUGAAAGCCCCCGGCUCAACCGGGGAGGGUCAUUGGAAACUGGGAAACUUGAGUGCAGAAGAGGAGAGUGGAAUUCCACGUGUAGCGGUGAAAUGCGUAGAGAUGUGGAGGAACACCAGUGGCGAAGGCGACUCUCUGGUCUGUAACUGACGCUGAGGAGCGAAAGCGUGGGGAGCGAACAGGAUUAGAGACCCGCGUAGUCCCUGUCUCUUAUAC